This 72-nucleotide transfer RNA is filed under the name Nematostella vectensis (starlet sea anemone). It matches the Rfam family "tRNA". Rfam says of the family: Transfer RNA (tRNA) molecules are approximately 80 nucleotides in length. Lineage: Eukaryota; Metazoa; Cnidaria; Anthozoa; Actiniaria; Edwardsiidae. The record is from Rfam by way of RNAcentral.
GCGUUGGUGGUACAGUGGUUAGCAUAGCUGCCUUCCAAGCAGUUCACCCUGGUUCGAUUCCCGUCCAACAAA